UUGCUCACUUCAGCAACACAUACACAAAGUUGGAAGGAUACAGGAAAAAUUAACCUUGCCCUAUGUAAGGAUGACAUGCAAAUCUGCAAGGCAUUCAUUCCUCGU
This 105-nucleotide small nuclear RNA is filed under the name Octodon degus (degu). Lineage: Eukaryota; Metazoa; Chordata; Mammalia; Rodentia; Octodontidae. The record is from RNAcentral.